UACCUGCAGCUCAAGUGGUGACCGCUAUUAUUGGGCCUAAAACGUCCGUAGCCGGUUUUAUAAAUGCCUGGGUAAAUCGUGUGGCUUAACCAUACGAAUUCCGGGUAGACUGUUAAACUUGAGACCGGGAGAGGCUAGAGGUACUCCUGGGGUAGAGGUGAAAUUCUGUAAUCCUGGGGGGACCACCAGUGGCGAAGGCGUCUAGCUAGAACGGGUCUGACGGUGAGGGACGAAGCCCUGGGGCGCAAACCGGAUUAGAUACCCGGGUAGUCCAGGGUGUAAACGCUGCUUGCUUGAUGUUAGUCGGGCUCCGAGCCCGAUUAGUGUCGGAGAGAAGUUGUUAAGCAAGCUGCCUGGGAAGUACGGUCGCAAGACUGAAACUUAAAGGAAUUGGCGGGGAGCACAGCAACGGGUGGAGCGUGCGGUUU
Molecule: ribosomal RNA, 428 nt
Filed under: uncultured archaeon
Lineage: Archaea
Description: bacterial SSU rRNA
Rfam family: Archaeal small subunit ribosomal RNA
Source: RNAcentral